This is a non-coding RNA of Oncorhynchus mykiss (rainbow trout), 1211 nucleotides long. The record is from RefSeq and is a predicted model, not a curated record. NCBI's taxonomy places the organism in Eukaryota, Metazoa, Chordata, Actinopteri, Salmoniformes, Salmonidae.
CUCUGAAUGAACGCCUCUCUGAGGAAGAUGCAGGCGGGGCCCACGAUGUUGUGUAGAACGGUGCAGUUCUGGACCACAGCACACAACGGCUCCUCAAACACUCUUCUCCUUUCAUCUUCCUCCUCUUCUUCCUCCAGGGCCCCCACACCCCCCGGCAUUGCCGCCGCAGCCAAUGGGGCUCCGCUCCCCUCCGAGGGCAAUACCCCCUUAGGGAGGGGAACCAAUCAGAUUGAUUAACCAACCACAUGCCAACCAAUCAGAAUGAUCAGAAAAAGUGUGUUCAGCCAAUAAAAAUGGCAGAUGUUUUGGGUUCUUGGCCAGCUGUUCUUUCUGUGUGGAUCUACCCAGCAGGACUUGGGUUCCAACAGAAGAUAAAGGCAUUGCUUGGAUUUAAACAGCCAGCGUAGUAAUACAGUUUAAAUACUGCUUAAAGCAGGGGUUACAUGAGACUCCUGCUUUAGAACAUUUAGAAUGCAAUAUCAAGGAACGUUUAGAAUGUCUAGGAACAUUUAGAAUGUCUAGGAACAUUUAGAAUGUCUAGGAACAGUUAGAAUGUCUAGGAACAGUUAGAAUGUCUAGGAACAGUUCGAAUGUCUAGGAACAUUUAGAAUGUCUAGGAAUAGUUAGAAUGUCUAGGAACAGUUAGAAUGUCUAGGAACAGUUAGAAUGUCUAGGAACAUUUAGAAUGUCUAGGAACAGUUAGAAUGUCUAGGAACAGUUCGAAUGUCUAGGAACAUUUAGAAUGUCUAUGAAUAGUUAGAAUGGCUAGGAACAGUUAGAAUGUCUAGGAACAGUUAGAAUGUCUAGGAACAGUUAGAAUGUCUAGGAACAGUUAGAAUGUCUAGGAACAGUUAGAAUGUCUAGGAACAUUUAGAAUGUCUAGGAACAGUUAGAAUGUCUAGGAACAGUUAGAAUGUCUAGGAACAGUUCGAAUGUCUAGGAACAUUUAGAAUGUCUAGGAAUAGUUAGAAUGUCUAGGAACAGUUAGAAUGUCUAGGAACAGUUAGAAUGUCUAGGAACAUUUAGAAUGUCUAGGAACAGUUAGAAUGUCUAGGAACAGUUCGAAUGUCUAGGAACAUUUAGAAUGUCUAGGAAUAGUUAGAAUGUCUAGGAACAGUUAGAAUGUCUAGGAACAGUUAGAAUGUCUAGGAACAGUUAGAAUGUCUAGGAACAGUUAGAAUGUCUAGGAACAGUUAGAAUGUCUAGGAACA